This 492-nucleotide ribosomal RNA is filed under the name uncultured bacterium. RNAcentral's name for it is "partial 16S ribosomal RNA". It matches the Rfam family "Bacterial small subunit ribosomal RNA", at positions 29 to 507 of the family's 1533-position model. The record is from RNAcentral.
AGUGAACGCUGGCUGUAGGCCUAACACAUGCAAGUCGAACGGCAGCACAGUAAGAGCUUGUUCUUACGGGUGGCGAGUGGCGGACGGGUGAGGAAUACAUCGGAAUCUACUUUUUCGGGGGGGAUAACGUAGGGAAACUUACGCUAAUACCGCUUAGGACCUACGGGGGAAAGCAGGGGAUCUUCGGCCCUUGGGGGAUGGAAGGAGCCGAUGUCGGAUUAGCUAGUUGGCGGGGUAAAGGCCCACCAAGGCGACGAUCCGUAGCUGGUCUGAGAGGAUGAUCAGCCACACUGGAACUGAGACACGGUCCAGACUCCUACGGGAGGCAGCAGUGGGGAAUAUUGGACAAUGGGCGCAAGCCUGAUCCAGCCAUACCGCGUGGGUGAAGAAGGCCUUCGGGUUGUAAAGCCCUUUUGUUGGGAAAGAAAAGCAGCAGGUUAAUACCCCGCUGUUCUGACGGUACCCAAAGAAUAAGCACCGGCUAACUUCGUG